This 119-nucleotide ribosomal RNA is filed under the name Pteropus alecto (black flying fox). The record is from RNAcentral. Lineage: Eukaryota; Metazoa; Chordata; Mammalia; Chiroptera; Pteropodidae.
GUCUAUGGCCAUGUCACCCUGAACAAGCCCUAUCCAGUCUGAUCUCGGAAGCUAAGCAGGGUUGGGCCUGGUUAGUACUUGGAUGAGAGACCACCUAGGAAGUCCAGGUGCUGUAAGAA